This is a long non-coding RNA of Cyprinus carpio (common carp), 1026 nucleotides long. NCBI's taxonomy places the organism in Eukaryota, Metazoa, Chordata, Actinopteri, Cypriniformes, Cyprinidae. The record is from Ensembl.
GUACUUUCCCCCCAUACUCGCAUGUUUAGCUCUGCUUAAGUCUACUGAUAAUCUGUCACUUAUAUCAUCAGAUGGAGUAUUUCAAGCCUGAGUAAUGUGAUUCAGCUCUACAGCACGGAAGAAGGAAGAAAAAAGCAAUGUUCUCCCGCAACCGCUGCAAUGGUCAGGAUGGUACGGGCAUCCCUCAGUAUCCCCGACCCAAAAAGAAAACUGCAGUGCCAAAGAGAAGGCAGCCAAAUCCCAAAGUUGCUCUGGUGUUGCGUGGGAAAAUUCAUCGUUUCUUGCAGGGAUCUGCAGAUCAUACUGUCCAGCCUUCUGGUCUUUACUACUCUGGAAUUGAAGAAGAGGAUGAAGAGGGGGAAGAGGAUGUUGAAAAAUUGCAGAAUUACUACAGGAGAGGAUUAGCUUCAGCAGAGGUCUGCUGCUCACCUGAGGUGCCAAAUGGACAUGGGCUGGGAGCAGUUUCUGGGGCACCUUGCGUUGGGGAAGUGGAACUAAAUCGAGAAGGAGGCAUCAGGAUUCCUUGCACUUUGCAGCAUAACAGUAAUUCGACAGUAGUUCAAAACCAAAUGACCCAAGGUCUAAAUGGGACUGGGUUUUCAUCUGAAAGAGGACUUGAUGGUGAGCCUAAAAGACAGACAGAUACUCUGCUGUGCAGGCUGAAUAUGACGAUGCUGGAUGAAGUCAUGGAGGGGAAUAGUCAGGACUGUCAAGAGGAAGAAUCGAGUGAUAUCGUUGAGCACAUACUGAAGGAAUUGCGAGGGAUCAACAAAAUUCAAGAGGAGAUUUCAGACUUGAGGGAAUACCUGUCAUCUGUUUGUGGUUCUGUCGAGGAGGUCUCUAGCUGUGUGGAUGCCGUCUUAAUGGAGAUUGAAUGCAUGCGGUCUGGAAGCAAAUCUGGUGUAGAGACUUGGCCAGGAGCAAUGGGUGGCACUGAGAGUUACUCCCACCACACACACAAAUCAAAUAACACUGUUAGUAAAGGCUGCUACAAGCCUUACGCUGUUGAAUCCUCAAGUAGCUGUG